CCUACGGGAGUCAGCAGUGAGGAAUAUUGGUCAAUGGACGAGAGUCUGCACCAGCCAAGUAGCGUGAAGGAUGACUGCCCUCUGGGUUGUAAACUUCUUUUAUCUGGGAAUAAAACGUUCCAAGUGUGGGAUUUUGUAUGUACCAUAUGAAUAAGGAUCGGCUAACUCCGUGCCAGCAGCCGCGGUAAUACGGAGGAUCCGAGCGUUAUCCGGAUUUAUGGGGUUUAAAGGGAGCGUAGGUGGUUUGUUAAGUCAGUUGUGAAAGUUUGCGCCUCAACCGUAAAAUUGAAGUUGAAACUGGCAGUUUUGAGUACAGGAGAGGUGGGCGGAAUUCGUGUGUAGCGGUGAAAUGCUUAGAUAUCACGAGGAACUCCGAUUGCGAAGGCAGUUCACUGGACUGCAACUGACACUGAGGCUCGAAAGUGUGGGUAUCAAACAGGAUUAGAUACCCGAGUAGUC
RNAcentral lists this ribosomal RNA (459 nucleotides) under uncultured bacterium. RNAcentral's name for it is "partial 16S ribosomal RNA". It matches the Rfam family "Bacterial small subunit ribosomal RNA", at positions 338 to 795 of the family's 1533-position model. The record is from RNAcentral.